GCCGCUGUAGCUCAGUUGGUAGAGCAGUUGAUUCGUAAUCAAUAGGUCGGGCGUUCGAUUCGUCUCAACGGCACCA
Molecule: transfer RNA, 76 nt
Filed under: Legionella antarctica
Lineage: Bacteria; Pseudomonadati; Pseudomonadota; Gammaproteobacteria; Legionellales; Legionellaceae
Description: Legionella sp. TUM19329 tRNA-Thr
Rfam family: tRNA
About the family: Transfer RNA (tRNA) molecules are approximately 80 nucleotides in length. Their secondary structure includes four short double-helical elements and three loops (D, anti-codon, and T loops).
Source: RNAcentral